AAACUAAAAUCAAAAAUUGAACCUAGUUUCGGCCUAGGAAUUGGCUUUUAGCCUUAGUUUU
This 61-nucleotide transfer RNA is filed under the name Neelides sp. FZ-2019. Its description in RNAcentral is "tRNA-Arg". The record is from RNAcentral. Lineage: Eukaryota; Metazoa; Arthropoda; Collembola; Neelipleona; Neelidae.